UUUAAAAUGAGAGUUUGAUCCUGGCUCAGGACGAACGUUGGCGGCGUGCCUAAUACAUGCAAGUCGAACGAAGUCGCCCAAAAUCAUCUUAGUGCUUGCACUAAGAUGAUUUUGGAUCCGACUGAGUGGCGAACUGGUGAGUAACACGUGGGUAACCUGCCCAGAAGAAGGGG
RNAcentral lists this ribosomal RNA (173 nucleotides) under Fructilactobacillus sanfranciscensis. Its description in RNAcentral is "Lactobacillus sanfranciscensis partial 16S ribosomal RNA". It matches the Rfam family "Bacterial small subunit ribosomal RNA", at positions 1 to 142 of the family's 1533-position model. The record is from RNAcentral. Lineage: Bacteria; Bacillati; Bacillota; Bacilli; Lactobacillales; Lactobacillaceae.